AUGAAGUUUAAUUCCACAAAAGAGGCUUGGAACUUUUGGACAUGUUAUGGAGGUCAUACUGGUUUUGAUGUAAGGGUAAAUUAUGAAAACAAGAGCAAACUUGACGGAGUAAUCACUUCUGCAAGAUAUGUUUGUUCUAAUGAAGGCUACAGAAGAAAGGACAAAAGGGAUAAUAAUACAAAGCGUCCUCGUGCAGAAACAAGGACCGGCUGCAAUGUUCGAAUGGGAAUCACUAUAGUCCGAGAAGCAGAAAAUUAUGAGGUGCACGAGUUAGUUGUUGAACACAACCAUGUCUUGCAAUUACCUGGGACAAGCCACUUGAUGCCGUCACAACGGAAGAUUUCGGCAUUGCAAGCAUUUGAAAUUGAAACAGCAGAUGAUUCAGGAAUUGUACCUAAAAGAGCCCAUGAGUUAGCAAGUCGACAAGUUGGUGGUCCACUGAACCUUGGCUACACAUGUCGUGAUCGCAAGAACCACUUGCGAACCAGGCGUCAAAGGGACUUGAUGUAUGGUGAAGCUGGAAGUAUGCUUAAGUACUUCAGAGAUAAAAAGAAUGAGAAUCUUGCAUUUGAAUAUGAUAUGCAACUAGAUUGCGAUGAACAAAUAGCGAAUAUCUUUUGGGCUGAUGCAAAGAUGAUCAUUGACUAUGCUCAUUUCGGUGAUGUUGUUACUUUCGAUACAACAUUUGGGACAAACAAAGAGUACAGACCCUUCGGUGUGUUUGUUGGAUUCAACCAUUUUAGAGAAAUGGUCAUUUUUGGUGCUGCACUUUUAUAUGAUGAGACAUUUGAGUCAUUCAAAUGGUUCUUCAACACGUUCCUAUCAUUGCAUAACAAGAAGCAACCUAGAACAAUCUUUACUGAUCAAGAUGUAGCAAUGGGUAAUGCAGUUCAGGCGGUAUUUACUGAAGCAUGGCAUGGAUUAUGCACUUUUCACAUAAUGCAAAAUGUCAUCAGGCACUUACCUCAUAAGAAAAAAGACGAGGAGGGACCAAAUGUACUUGCUGAUUUCAGUGCUUGCAUGUACAAGUAUGAGGAAGAGGAAGCCUUUGUAGAAGCUUUCAAUGCCAUCAGAAGCAAUGUGGAUACACAAACUUGGACUGUGCAAGAGAAAAGAGAUAACGAGGUAAAUGAGGAAUAUGAGUCUAGGAAAAAAUUACCUAGAGUCAGAAUGAGGACUCCUAUGGUAAUACAAGCGAGCAAGGUUUACACACCACGCAUAUUUGAAGAUUUUCAGAAUGAAUAUGAAAGAUCCAUCUCAGCAUACAUCAAGCCAUCGAUGGAACACAAUGCAUAUAUUGUUGCAAUUGCAAGUCUUGACCCAGAAUUCACAUAUGAAGAAGAGUGCAAAGUUGUAGUUGAUUAUGAAGAGCAAAAAGUUUUCUGCGAUUGUGGGCAAUUUGAAAGAGUUGGUAUAUUGUGUAGUCAUGCUUUGAAAGCACUUGAUGUCAUGAAUAUUAAGUACCUUCCAGGACACUAUAUUUUGAAGCGAUGGACUCGAGAAGCGCGAAGCGGCACUAUACAAAACAGCCAUGGAAACAUUGUUUUGGAAGAUCCUAGAUCAGAAGAUAGACAACAGUUGAAGUUUUUCAUGCACGAGUUCCUUGGCAUAGCUUCACAGGCAGUUACAUCAGAAGAGUGUAUCAAACUAGUAGAUGAUGCUUUGAAGAAUCUUAGGAAGCAAGUUGAAGAGAAAGCUCGUACUACUACGUGCAGAACUGAAGAUAUAUCUAAAGAACCAGACGAUUGUUUAAAGGAUGCUUGCCUAAAGAAAAAGGAAAUUCCAAAGAAAAAUUCAAGAAGAAAGAAAUCAUGGCUUGAC
RNAcentral lists this ribosomal RNA (1821 nucleotides) under Triticum aestivum (bread wheat). RNAcentral's name for it is "partial small subunit ribosomal RNA". Lineage: Eukaryota; Viridiplantae; Streptophyta; Magnoliopsida; Poales; Poaceae. The record is from RNAcentral.